Pongo abelii (Sumatran orangutan) is the source of this 149-nucleotide unclassified non-coding RNA. It matches the Rfam family "Metazoan signal recognition particle RNA". Rfam says of the family: The signal recognition particle (SRP) is a universally conserved ribonucleoprotein. It is involved in the co-translational targeting of proteins to membranes. NCBI's taxonomy places the organism in Eukaryota, Metazoa, Chordata, Mammalia, Primates, Hominidae. The record is from Ensembl.
GCCAGGUGUGGUGGCGCGCACCUGUAAUCCCAGCUACUCAGGAGGCUGAGGCAGGAGAAUCGCUUGAGCCCUGGGAGGCAGAGGUUGCAGUGAGCUGAGAUCACUCCACUACACUCCAGCCUGGGCGACAGAGAGAGACUCUGUCUCAA